CGGGUCGGCCAGAUCAUCGCGGUGUGUCACCGGCACACCGAGGAAAGUCCGGGCUCCCCAGGGCAGGAUGGUGGGUAACGCCCACUCGGGGUAACCCGCAGGCCAGUGCCACAGAAAACAGACCGCCCCACCAGGGGUAAGGGUGAAACGGUGGUGUAAGAGACCACCAGCGCACCGGGUGACCGGUGCGGCUCGGUAAACCCCAUCCGGAGCAAGGUCGAGCAGGAUACGUUUGAGGGCUGCCCGCCCGAGUAUCCGGGUUGACUGCUUGAGGUCCGCGGCAACGCGGAACCCAGAUGGAUGAUGAUCCUUCGACAGAACCCGGCUUAUCGGCCGACCUGUCCG
RNAcentral lists this RNase P RNA (345 nucleotides) under Nesterenkonia sedimenti. Its description in RNAcentral is "Bacterial RNase P class A". It matches the Rfam family "Bacterial RNase P class A". Rfam says of the family: Ribonuclease P (RNase P) is a ubiquitous endoribonuclease, found in archaea, bacteria and eukarya as well as chloroplasts and mitochondria. Lineage: Bacteria; Bacillati; Actinomycetota; Actinomycetes; Micrococcales; Micrococcaceae. The record is from Rfam by way of RNAcentral.